AACUAUAACGGUCCUAAGGUAGCGAAAUUCCUUGUCAGGUAAGUUCUGACCCGCAUGAAAGGCGUAAUGAUUUGGGCACUGUCUCAACAGCCCGCCCGGCGAAAUUGUAGUACCGGUGAAGAUGCCGGUUACCCGCGACAAGACGGAAAGACCCCAUGGAGCUUUACUGUAGCCUAAUAUUGGGUUUCGAUGUUGCAUGCACAGGAUAGAUGGGACACUGGGAAACAAUCGCUUUGGCGGUUGCGGAGUGGCCGUUGGGAUACCAUCCUUGCGAUAUUGGAAUUCUAACCUGCGGCUCUGAAUCGAGUCGGGGGACAUUGUUAGGUGGGCAGUUUGACUGGGGCGGUCGCCUCCUAAAAAGUAACGGAGGCGUUCAAAGGUUCGCUCAGCUUGAACGGAAAUCAAGCAAAAGAGUGCAAACGCAGAAGCGAGCCUAACUGCGAGACUGACGGGUCGAGCAGUAACGAAAGUUGGAGUUAGUGAUCCGGUGGUAUGUGAGUGGAAAUGCCAUCGCUCAACGGAUAAAAGCUACCCUGGGGAUAACAGGCUGAUCUCCCCCAAGCGUCCACAGCGACGGGGAGGUUUGGCACCUCGAUGUCGGCUCGUCACAUCCUGGGGCUGAAUUCGGUCCCAAGGGUUCGGCUGUUCGCCGAUUAAAGUGGCACGCGAGCUGGGUUCAGAACGUCGUGAGACAGUUCGGUCCCUAUCUGUUGCGGGCGCAGGAAUAUUGAGAGGAGCUGUCCUUAGUACGAGAGGACCGGGAUGGACGUACCGCUGGUGCACCAGUUGUUCUGCCAAGGGCAUAGCUGGGUAGCUAAGUACGGACGAGAUAAACGCUGAAGGCAUCUAAGCGUGAAACUCCCCUCGAGAUAAGUGUUCCCAUCCUUCGGGAGUAAGGCCCCUUGUAGACUACAAGGUUGAUAGGUCAGGAGUGGAAGUGCAGUAAUGUAUGGAGCGGACUGAUACUAAUAGGCCGAGGGCUUGACCU
This 988-nucleotide ribosomal RNA is filed under the name human gut metagenome. RNAcentral's name for it is "bacterial LSU rRNA". It matches the Rfam family "Bacterial large subunit ribosomal RNA", at positions 1938 to 2925 of the family's 2925-position model. The record is from RNAcentral.